Molecule: ribosomal RNA, 669 nt
Filed under: Trichuris ovis
Lineage: Eukaryota; Metazoa; Nematoda; Enoplea; Trichinellida; Trichuridae
Description: small subunit ribosomal RNA
Source: RNAcentral
UUUUCUUAAAUUAAAGGUAACUUUUAGCUCUAGUAAUUUCAAUUAUCGCGUCUGAUAUAUAACCGUACAGAUUCAAUCUAUGCAAUAAUAUUUGACAUGGGUCUUAUUAGGGUGAAUAGAUGUGCCAGCUACCGCGGUUAUACGUCACUGUUAAAUUACAUACUUGUUCUUUCUUGUAAAUAGUACGUACACAAUUACUUAAAUUUUCGGUGAAAUUAUUUUUUCUUUUAUUUAAAUACAAGAAAUCAAAUUUAAAACUAAAACUGGGAUUAGAUACCCCAUUAUUUUAAAAUUAAAGAACAAAGUAGUACUAUGAUAAUCAAACUUAAUUAAGACGGCGGUAAAAUAUUUAUUAGAGGAGGUUGUCCUAUGAUCGAUAACCCUCGUUAUAAAUCUUCUAUCUAGAUUAUGUAUAUCGCCGUUGAAAUUCGAUUUAAAAUUGAAUUUAUAUAUUUAGUUAGUUAGAGUCAACAGGUCAAGAUACAAAUAAUGAUGAAGAUAGAGAUGACCUACAAUUUAAAUAAAUUAAUCCAACAGGAUUUAAUUGUAAUUUUUUCUACAUAACAUAACAAUAUGAUUACUUAAUUAUUUUAUGCACAUAUCGCCCGUCACCCUCUCACAAGAGGUAAGUCGUAACAAAGUAGAUUUUUCGGAAGAAGAGUCUAGCCU